CAAUAGCUCACCAUGUGAAUCUGCGUCAAGCCGAAUUGUGGUCUCACUUGCGCUAUUGGGCCGGGCCAAGUCCAUUGGAACACGGCAGCCGAGAGGGUGACACUCCCGUCCGCCCGGCCCUCUGAGCUUGUGUAUUCGAGUCGAGUUGUUUGGGAUUGCAGCUCUAAGCGGGUGGUAAAUUCCAUCGAAAGCUAAAUACUGGUGGGAGACCGAUAGCGUACAAGUACCGUGAGGGAAAGAUGCAAAG
This 247-nucleotide ribosomal RNA is filed under the name Scrippsiella trochoidea. Its description in RNAcentral is "partial Eukaryotic large subunit ribosomal RNA". It matches the Rfam family "Eukaryotic large subunit ribosomal RNA", at positions 102 to 371 of the family's 3401-position model. Lineage: Eukaryota; Dinophyceae; Peridiniales; Peridiniaceae. The record is from RNAcentral.